GAUGAACGCUGGCGGCGUGCCUAAUACAUGCAAGUCGAGCGCACGGACGAGAAGCUUGCUCUGCUGAUGUUAGAGGCGGAGGGGUGAGUAACACGUGUAUAGCAUAGCUAUAGGACACGGGUAACUACAGGGAACAGGAGCUGAUGGCGGAUGAUAUUUUGAGGCGCAAGGUUCAAGCGUUGAAGAAGGUCGUGGUGUGAGUAAUGGACGGCCCCGGGCUGCAUUAGCUAGUUGGCAAGGUAACGGCUUACCAAGGCAACGAUGGAGAGCCGACCCAAAAGGGUGAUUGCCUACACUGGAACUGAGACACGGUCCAGACUCCUACGGGAGGCAGCAGUAGGGACUCUUCCGCGAGGGGCGAAAGCCUGACGGAGCAACGCCGCGUGAGUGAUGAAGGUCUUCGGAUCGGAGAGCUCUGUUAUUAGGGAAGAACAUAUGUGUAAUUAACUGUGCACAUCUUGACGGUACCUAAUCAGAAAGCCCCGGCUAACUACGUG
RNAcentral lists this ribosomal RNA (497 nucleotides) under uncultured bacterium. RNAcentral's name for it is "partial 16S ribosomal RNA". It matches the Rfam family "Bacterial small subunit ribosomal RNA", at positions 28 to 507 of the family's 1533-position model. The record is from RNAcentral.